Hemicordylus capensis (graceful crag lizard) is the source of this 139-nucleotide small nucleolar RNA. RefSeq annotates it as small nucleolar RNA SNORA51. Lineage: Eukaryota; Metazoa; Chordata; Lepidosauria; Squamata; Cordylidae. The transcript has a single exon. The record is from RefSeq and is a predicted model, not a curated record.
CAUCUCCCCAUGCUUACCACAGGUAGCUUGGCCACAAACGCUGCCUGUAUAGAAGUGGGAGGUACAGAAUUGGCAUCCCUGCAUACACCUCAGCCAGGCUGCUUCUCACCUGAGCUGUAUUGUUAGCAAGGGCACAGAG